GUCAGUGUGUGUGCUGUAAAAGC
Molecule: non-coding RNA, 23 nt
Filed under: Cricetulus griseus (Chinese hamster)
Lineage: Eukaryota; Metazoa; Chordata; Mammalia; Rodentia; Cricetidae
Source: RNAcentral